This 486-nucleotide ribosomal RNA is filed under the name uncultured bacterium. RNAcentral's name for it is "partial 16S ribosomal RNA". It matches the Rfam family "Bacterial small subunit ribosomal RNA", at positions 29 to 507 of the family's 1533-position model. The record is from RNAcentral.
AUUGAACGCUGGCGGCAUGCCUUACACAUGCAAGUCGAACGGCAGCACGGGUACUUGCCCCUGCUGGCGAGUGGCGAACGGGGGAGUAAUACAUCGGAACAUGUCCUGUAGAGGGGGAUAGCCCGGCGAAAGCCGGAUUAAUACCGCAUACGAACUACGUGUGACAGAGGGGGACCUAGUGGACGCGGGCUUUGGGGUUGGUCGAUGGCGGAUUAGCUAGUUGGUGGGGUAAAGGCCUACCAAGGCGACGAUCAGUAGCUGGUCUGAGAGGACGACCAGCCACACUGGGACUGAGACACGGCCCAGACUCCUACGGGAGGCAGCAGUAGGGAAUUUUGGACAAUGGGCGAAAGCCUGACCCAGCAAUGCCGCGUGUGUGAAGAAGGCCUUCGGGUUGUAAAGCACUUUUGUCCGGAAAGAAAUACUUGGCCAUAAUACGGGCGGGGGAUGACGGUACCGGAAGAAUAAGCACCGGCUAACUACGUG